Lolium perenne is the source of this 618-nucleotide long non-coding RNA. RefSeq lists it as uncharacterized. The record is from RefSeq and is a predicted model, not a curated record. NCBI's taxonomy places the organism in Eukaryota, Viridiplantae, Streptophyta, Magnoliopsida, Poales, Poaceae.
AGACAAGCGGCCCUCCAUUCCUUUAUAUCUUCCCUUUCUUUUUUGGUAUUUUUGUUUUUCUCAGCUGACAGCUGGGGUCCACAAAUCAUCUCCAACCUCCAGACUACUGCUACGUAUCGGGAACCAACUCUGUACCGAAACGAAGCCACAAAAAUCUCCCGAUUCCGUUCGAUUUCGUGCAUCCUUUGCCACGAAAAAAUCCCUCUAUAAAUACCCCAAAAUCUCCUCCGUUUUUGCCCUAAAAAAAUUCCGAUUUUGUGCGCCGCCAGGCUGCCAAAUUUGCUCGCCGGAGCUUCGAGCUGCCGCCGCCAUUGGAGCUCGAGAUCGAGAAUACGGAGCCGCCCGGGAUACGUCGCCGGAGCAUCGCCGGAGUUCGAGAUGAACAACCGCACGUCAACACCGUUUCAGGAGUAGGCUCUGUCACCGAGGACACCAUCUAAAUCACCGCGAUGCGCUGCACCGAGUCGACCACUUCUCCGAUGUCUACGACUACCCGGGGCUAGCUCGCUGUCGACGUCCUCAACAUUGACAUAGCGCGUACUGCUGCCAUCGUCGUUGUACGGAGAGCUACGAGUUUUGAUUGAGAGAUGUGCAGAAUUCUUCAAUUACCAAAAAGGC